Molecule: ribosomal RNA, 700 nt
Filed under: uncultured bacterium
Lineage: Bacteria
Description: bacterial SSU rRNA
Rfam family: Bacterial small subunit ribosomal RNA
Source: RNAcentral
GAGUUUGAUCCUGGCUCAAGAAAACGCUGGCGGCGCACAUAAGACAUGCAAGUCGAACGGACUUAACCAUUAGUUUACUAUUGGAGCGGUUAGUGGCGGACUGGUGAGUAACACGUAAGCAACCUGCCUAUCAGAGGGGAACAACAGUUAGAAAUGACUGCUAAUACCGCAUAUGCCUUGAGUAUCACAUGGUACAAAAGGGAAAGGAGCGAUCCGCUGAUAGAUGGGCUUGCGUCUGAUUAGAUAGUUGGUGGGGUAACGGCCUACCAAGUCGACGAUCAGUAGCCGGACUGAGAGGUUGAACGGCCACAUUGGGACUGAGAUACGGCCCAGACUCCUACGGGAGGCAGCAGUCGGGAAUAUUGCGCAAUGGAGGAAACUCUGACGCAGUGACGCCGCGUGCAGGAAGAAGGUUUUCGGAUUGUAAACUGCUUUAGACAGGGAAGAAACAAGAUAGUACCUGUAGAAUAAGCUCCGGCUAACUACGUGCCAGCAGCCGCGGUAAUACGUANGGAGCAAGCGUUGUCCGGAUUUAUUGGGCGUAAAGCGAGUGCAGGCGGGUUCAAUAGUCUGAUGUGAAAGCCUUCNGCUCAACCGGAGAAUGCAUCAAAAACUGUUGAACUUGAAUGCAAAAGAGAAAAUGGAACUCCUGUGUACCGUGGGAUGCGUAAAAAAAUGAAAAACCCCGUUGGCAAGGGCG